RNAcentral lists this ribosomal RNA (437 nucleotides) under uncultured Clostridium sp. RNAcentral's name for it is "partial 16S ribosomal RNA". It matches the Rfam family "Bacterial small subunit ribosomal RNA", at positions 341 to 792 of the family's 1533-position model. Lineage: Bacteria; Bacillati; Bacillota; Clostridia; Eubacteriales; Clostridiaceae. The record is from RNAcentral.
ACGGGAGGCAGCAGUGGGGGAUAUUGCACAAUGGGCGAAAGCCUGAUGCAGCAACGCCGCGUGAGGGAAGACGGUUUUCGGAUUGUAAACCUCUGUCUUUGGUGAAGAAGAAAGUGACGGUAGCCAAGGAGGAAGCCACGGCUAACUACGUGCCAGCAGCCGCGGUAAUACGUAGGUGGCAAGCGUUGUCCGGAAUUACUGGGUGUAAAGGGAGCGCAGGCGGGACUGCAAGUUGGAUGUGAAAUACCGCAGCUUAACUGAGGAGCUGCAUCGAAAACUGUAGUUCUUGAGUGGAGGAGAGGUAGGCGGAAUUCCGAGUGUAGCGGUGAAAUGCGUAGAUAUUAGGAGGAACACCAGUGGCGAAGGCGGCCUACUGGGCUGUUACUGACGCUGAGGCUCGAAAGUGUGGGGAGCAAACAGGAUUAGAUACCCUGGUA